CUUUUACGUCGGCCUUCGCGAGCGUCUGGGCGGGUGGUAGGAACAAUGGCGCUGUCUUCAGUGGCACAGUGGAGCAGCUCUGAAGAUGCAAAGAUACACGAAAAAACUUCCAGAACAUCUGGGAGAAUAUUUAAUGGAAAAUCGCUUGGUUAAAACCUGACACUUUUAACAGUGAGGGUCGCUGUCUGCCCAUUGAUAGAGGCCAGAUUGUCUUGGAAGUUCCAAAGUUGCAACGAUUUCUUUAGUUGAAUCCAUGGACAUGAAACCCACAGAUAUAGAGGGUUGGCCCGGUGCAGUGGCUCACGCCUGUAAUCCCAGCACUUUGGGAGGCCAAGGCGGGUGGAUCACCUGAGGUCAGAAGCUUGAGACCAGCCUGGCCAACAUGGGUACUGCUUUCUCUUGCUGCAGCUUGCUUCCUCCCUCAGGUAACAUGAAGGAGGAUAUUGAAUGUUCCUAACACAAAGAAAUGAUAAAUGUUUGAGAUGGUGGAUGUACUAAUUGCCCUGAUCUGAUGACUAUACAUUAUAUAUAUUGAAACAUCAGUAUGUACCCCAUGAAUAUGUACAAU
Molecule: long non-coding RNA, 568 nt
Filed under: Homo sapiens (human)
Lineage: Eukaryota; Metazoa; Chordata; Mammalia; Primates; Hominidae
Description: small nucleolar RNA host gene 5
Source: RNAcentral